GUAAUAUAGUUUUAAAACAAACAUUAGAC
RNAcentral lists this transfer RNA (29 nucleotides) under Actinemys marmorata (Northwestern pond turtle). RNAcentral's name for it is "partial tRNA-His". The record is from RNAcentral. Lineage: Eukaryota; Metazoa; Chordata; Testudines; Emydidae.